AUAAACGCUUGGAACGGGAUUAGUAGGGAGAUUCGCUUGAAUCCAGAGAGCUGCGGGAUGGUGCAACGCAGUAUGAAGGCAACCCUGAACUCACCCGGGAGCGGAAUGAUGGAAAGUCUAACGAGUAGACAGGUACAUCAUUACGGUUGAUCCCCGUGAUCGGAUACCAUUAUAUUGUAUUUCAUAUAAUGCAUUUUAAUGGAUAAAGCGGGACGCCGUUUUGAAUGAUUCUAAUCAGCGUCCAAUAAGAGUGGUACCGCGAAGGUAAAUCAACCGUCGUCUCUUUU
Molecule: non-coding RNA, 287 nt
Filed under: Paenibacillus sp.
Lineage: Bacteria; Bacillati; Bacillota; Bacilli; Caryophanales; Paenibacillaceae
Description: T-box sequence
Rfam family: T-box leader
About the family: Uncharged tRNA acts as the effector for transcription antitermination of genes in the T-box leader family. T-boxes are found upstream of many aminoacyl-tRNA synthetase genes and some amino acid biosynthetic genes usually in Gram-positive bacteria. The anticodon of a specific tRNA base pairs to a specifier sequence within the T-box motif, and the NCCA acceptor tail of the tRNA base pairs to a conserved bulge in the T-box antiterminator hairpin.
Source: RNAcentral